Molecule: long non-coding RNA, 114 nt
Organism: Rhodamnia argentea
Lineage: Eukaryota; Viridiplantae; Streptophyta; Magnoliopsida; Myrtales; Myrtaceae
Exons: 3
Source: RefSeq, a predicted model, not a curated record
UCUACUAUGGCCGGGAAAAAGGUUCCGGGUCGAGAUCUUGCGAGGGUGAGCUAACUCCAAAAACCCGUCCUCGGUUCGGAUUGUAGGCUGCAACUCGCCUGCAUGAAGGGGCUG